Molecule: transfer RNA, 72 nt
Filed under: Phaeoacremonium minimum UCRPA7
Lineage: Eukaryota; Fungi; Ascomycota; Sordariomycetes; Togniniales; Togniniaceae
Description: tRNA-Glu (TTC) (tRNA-Glu-TTC-3-1)
Rfam family: tRNA
About the family: Transfer RNA (tRNA) molecules are approximately 80 nucleotides in length. Their secondary structure includes four short double-helical elements and three loops (D, anti-codon, and T loops).
Source: RNAcentral
GCCCCUUUGGCUUAGGGGUAGGGCGUCGCACGUUCGAUGCGAAGAUCACAGGUUCGAAUCCUGUAGGGGGCA